RNAcentral lists this ribosomal RNA (90 nucleotides) under Salmonella enterica subsp. enterica serovar Infantis. RNAcentral describes it as "partial 16S ribosomal RNA". The stretch from base 1 to 78 matches the Rfam family "Bacterial small subunit ribosomal RNA", at positions 1456 to 1533 of the family's 1533-position model. The record is from RNAcentral. RNAcentral also lists the same sequence under 1 other name. Lineage: Bacteria; Pseudomonadati; Pseudomonadota; Gammaproteobacteria; Enterobacterales; Enterobacteriaceae.
ACCACUUUGUGAUUCAUGACUGGGGUGAAGUCGUAACAAGGUAACCGUAGGGGAACCUGCGGUUGGAUCACCUCCUUACCUUAAAGAGGC